UUGAACGCUGGCGGCAUGCUUUACACAUGCAAGUCGAACGGCAGCACGGGGGCAACCCUGGUGGCGAGUGGCGAACGGGUGAGUAAUAUAUCGGAACAUGUCCGGAAGUGGGGGAUAACGUAGCGAAAGUUACGCUAAUACCGCAUAUGCCCUGAGGGGGAAAGGGGGGGAUCGCAAGACCUCUCGCUUUCGGAGUGGCCGAUAUCGGAUUAGCUAGUUGGUGAGGUAAAGGCUCACCAAGGCGACGAUCCGUAGCUGGUCUGAGAGGACGACCAGCCACACUGGGACUGAGACACGGCCCAGACUCCUACGGGAGGCAGCAGUGGGGAAUUUUGGACAAUGGGGGCAACCCUGAUCCAGCCAUUCCGCGUGAGUGAAGAAGGCCUUCGGGUUGUAAAGCUCUUUCGGCAGGAACGAAACGGUGUGGGCCAAUACCCUGCAUCAAUGACGGUACCUGAAGAAGAAGCACCGGCUAACUACGU
Molecule: ribosomal RNA, 482 nt
Filed under: uncultured bacterium
Lineage: Bacteria
Description: bacterial SSU rRNA
Rfam family: Bacterial small subunit ribosomal RNA
Source: RNAcentral